Non-coding RNA from Nematostella vectensis (starlet sea anemone), 82 nucleotides. NCBI's taxonomy places the organism in Eukaryota, Metazoa, Cnidaria, Anthozoa, Actiniaria, Edwardsiidae. The record is from Rfam.
GGUAGCGUGGCCGAGCGGUCUAAGGCGCUGGUUUAACGCACAAGUCUCGAAAGAGGCAUGGGUUCGAAUCCCACCGCUGCCA